AUGGAGGCGAAGACAAGAGAGCUCAUUGCUAGAAGAACCACACCUCUUUUGGAAUAUAUUAAAAAUAGAAAAUUAGAAAAGCAGAGAAUUCGAGAAGAGAAGCGAGAAGAACGGAGGAGGAGAGAGUUAGAAAAGAAACGUUUGCGGGAAGAGGAAAAAAGAAGAAGAAGAGAAGAAGAAAGAUGCAAAAAAAAAAAGAGAGACAGAUAAACAGAAGAAAAUUGCAGAGAAAGAAGUAAGGAUUAAGCUUCUUAAGAAACCAGAAAAGGGAGAGGAACCAACCACAGAGAAACCAAAAGAAAGAGGAGAGGAGAUUGAUACUGGAGGUGGCAAGCAGGAAUCCUGUGCCCCCGGUGCAGUCGUAAAAGCCAGGCCCGUGGAAGGCUCGCUGGAGGAGCCCCAGGAGACGUCACACAGCGGCAGUGAUAAAGAGCACAGGGAUGUGGAGAGAUCUCAAGAACAAGAAUCUGAAGCACAAAGACACCAUGUGGAUGAUGGCAGGAGGCACAGAGCUCACCACGAGCCUGACCGGCUUUCCAGAGGGAGUGAGGAUGAGCAGAGAUGGGGGAAAGGACCUGGCCAAGACAGAGGGAAGAAGGGGAGCCAGGACAGCGGGGCUCCGGGGGAGGCCAUGGAGAGACUGGGAAGAGCGCAGAGGUGUGACGACAGUCCAGCACCCAGAAAAGAGCGACUGGCAAACAAGGACCGGCCAGCCUUGCAGCUGUAUGAUCCAGGAGCUCACUUCCGAGCGCUAGAGUGUGGCGGAAACAGGAGGAUCUGCAAGGCAGAAGGUUCGGGAACUGGUCCUGAGAAGAGGGAAGAGGCAGAGUGA
This 832-nucleotide long non-coding RNA is filed under the name Homo sapiens (human). RNAcentral's name for it is "non-protein coding lnc-LGALS9B-11:2". The record is from RNAcentral. Lineage: Eukaryota; Metazoa; Chordata; Mammalia; Primates; Hominidae.